Jatropha curcas is the source of this 1828-nucleotide non-coding RNA. The record is from RefSeq and is a predicted model, not a curated record. NCBI's taxonomy places the organism in Eukaryota, Viridiplantae, Streptophyta, Magnoliopsida, Malpighiales, Euphorbiaceae.
UACCUUAUUUCGGACGAAAGUCAUAGUCGGCAGGACGAUCGCACAAGCAGGCACUUGCAAAUCGACUCAUGCCUAUAAGUGCCGCAAAACACCUGAUUAGGGACCGUGACGACUAGUCGUUUCAUCGUUUUCCCUCUCUCCCGUCUCCCUGUUCAAAAUCGGAACAUCUUCUUCUCGAUCUCAAUCCCAAAUCAUUAACAUAAACUGGAAUUCCAAUCUCUCUUUACACAUACAUGUAGUUGGGCACAAUCUAGUAACUGCAACUUUGCAAUUUCAGUUCCAAAAUCUUGGAGCUAGUAGCAAUUUUCGAUCGGAGAAAGGAGAAAUACAAAAUAAAGAAUGAUAACUCGCUCUAAACUCGCGGAGCAACUCAGAGACUACCAGAUCCGAUCCCAGCACAAGUUUACAGCUCUCACCAUCUUCUCCCCUAAACCUCACAUUACUUCUCGGGCUGAUGUUGCUGUGGCUAUCUUUUGGGCGUUAGUGUUUAGCAUACUUGUCAUAUCAUCCUGUGUGACCCUUUAUUUCAGGCACUUUUGGUUUUCUUUUCUCAUAACCUGCCUUGGGAUUUUUCUUCUCACACGCUUGAGAAGUUCUAGGCAGGCACUGGCCUGGAAGAAGGAGAGAAGAUUGUUAUUACCUUUGUCCAUGUGAACAUGAUUUAGCAAUAGAGUACUUUGCCUAUGUAGCUUGGUCAUGAUAAUUAAAUCGCAUUCGAGUCCUGUGACUUACUUUAAAACAAACUCAAGUGCGGAGGGCUACUCUUGGUUAACCAGGACCCUUGCCUGGUCCUUUAGAUAUGUGGUACAAUUUUUUUUUAUCCCCCAACAUAACAAAUACACACAAUCCUUGAGAAUUUACCCAACACUUCUUUUCACAUGUAAACACCUUACAAUUGAGCAACAUUAAGGAAGUUGUAGAUUUAUUAAUCAUUAUAGUUAAAGAAAAUCUAUUUUAAAAUCUCUUGCACAUUGAGUUGUUAUAUAACCCUUUUAUUGUAAAGUUUGAAACACAGACAUGGCAUGAUGAUUAGCUUUCUCUGUUCUUUUCUUUGAGUAAGUUAUGGACCUAGAUUUUGUCUGAACAUGUGCAUUUUACUUGAUCCUAAGUUCAAAAAGAUAAGAUCACUAUGGGGUGGGGUUGUGCUAGAGUCUGUUAUUUGUUAGCUAUGCACCAAGGGUUCAACCAUGAAUUUAAGUGGCUAAGGUCAAGUAAUCUUUAAUUGAAUUCAGUCCAGAUCUUGGUUGGCAAGUUGGGUUACCUGACUUGAACCAACCUGACCUAUGCAAUAUAAAAGUUCGCCUUCUUAGUUUAAAUUUUGUUUUGGUGUUUAUGCAUGUAAUCAGAAACUAUGGGUUCUUAUUGUCAUCCAUUCUCACCGGAAGAAAGGUUACUAUCAGUAGCUACAGUUGAAUUUCCAUUGUGGUAGUAAAACUGAAACUAAUUUUUCUGUUGGGGAACAAGAAACAACAUAUGUAAACCACUGGAUUUUCUAGUCAUCAAAUCUAACCAGAUUGGAUUUGCUACAGUUAUCUUGUUCUACUGCAAAUAAUUACAUGCCAAUAUUUGUUUUUUUCAAGUGUGUCAGAUUUAUUUAUGAAAAACCAACGAGGACCGAUGUUAGUUGUCCUCUCAUUUUAGCUCCUCCAGUCUUGCUAAGAUUUUUCUGGUGUUAUUUCUUUCUUUAUGGCAUUAGAGUUGAUCUGGAAUUAUUCGAAAAUUUUGUUAACUGGAUGUUGGGAGACUUGUUAGGUUUUCAAUUAAAUUGAAUAUUCCCUUCUUGUAUAAAAGGAGGCUUUUAUUAUUAUUAUUAUUAUUAUUAUUAUUA